AAAAAGUGGAGUUCAGUAACCACUCAAAAAAACGGGGCUAUACUUAAAAGCCGUACCAGUAAAGAAUUA
Bacteroidetes bacterium GWA2_32_17 is the source of this 69-nucleotide non-coding RNA. NCBI's taxonomy places the organism in Bacteria, Pseudomonadati, Bacteroidota. The record is from Rfam.